AGCGGCGAACGGGUGAGUAACACGUGGGUGAUCUGCCCUGCACUUCGGGAUAAGCCUGGGAAACUGGGUCUAAUACCGGAUAUGACCUCCUAUCGCAUGGUGGGUGGUGGAAAGAUUUAUCGGUGCAGGAUGGGCCCGCGGCCUAUCAGCUUGUUGGUGGGGUAAUGGCCUACCAAGGCGACGACGGGUAGCCGACCUGAGAGGGUGACCGGCCACACUGGGACUGAGACACGGCCCAGACUCCUACGGGAGGCAGCAGUGGGGAAUAUUGCACAAUGGGCGAAAGCCUGAUGCAGCGACGCCGCGUGAGGGAUGACGGCCUUCGGGUUGUAAACCUCUUUCAGCAGGGACGAAGCGCAAGUGACGGUACCUGCAGAAGAAGCACCGGCUAACUACGUGCCAGCAGCCGCGGUAAUACGUAGGGUGCAAGCGUUGUCCGGAAUUACUGGGCGUAAAGAGUUCGUAGGCGGUUUGUCGCGUCGUUUGUGAAAACCAGCA
Molecule: ribosomal RNA, 498 nt
Filed under: Rhodococcus sp. ST1-7
Lineage: Bacteria; Bacillati; Actinomycetota; Actinomycetes; Mycobacteriales; Nocardiaceae
Description: bacterial SSU rRNA
Rfam family: Bacterial small subunit ribosomal RNA
Source: RNAcentral